UGCCUUGGGCCAAUCGGAGGAUCUGUGCUGUCCCAGCAACCAAGUGGGUCAUCUGCCCUCGGGUGUUUGAUCCAUGAAAUGUUUGGUGGCAGUAACCGAACGCAUCUGAUGGGACUGCUCAGGGUGAAAGGUAUUGCAACGCCAGAGGUGAAAUUCUUAGACCGCUGCCAGACCAACUGCAGCGAAGGCGUUCUGCAAGUGCAUGUUCGUCGAUCAAGAAUGAGAGCGUGGGGAGCGAAGAUGAUCAGACACCGUCGUAGUCCACAGCUGUAAACCAUGCCAGCUCGGCAUUGAUGAGGUAAGCACAUGAACCUCAGCGGUGCCAUGCCCCCUGCAACGAGAAAUCCAAGCCUUUGGGUUCAGGGGGGAGUACUGUCGCAAGGCUGAAACUUAAAGGAAUUGACGGAAUGGCACCACAAGGCGUGGAGUAUGCGGCUUAAUUUGACUCAACACGGGGAAUGUUACCAGGUCAGGACGUUGCUGGGAUGGACAGAUUGAGAGCUCUUUCUUGAUCCUUCGGAUGGUGGUGCAUGGCCGCUCCUGAUUGGUGGAGUGAUUUGUCUGGUUGAUUCCGAUAACGAGUGAGAUCUCUGCCUCCCAAUAGCACCAGUCUCGCAUCUGGUAGGGUGGACCCCAGGGCAACGUCCCUUGGUAGCUUGCUGCCUUGGGAUUCCUGUGGGUUCCCUGAGAGCUCUGGUAUCAGCUUCUCUGAGGUGCUGUGUCUGCCACCAAAGGCACGCAUGCUAGAGCCAACAGCAGGUCUGUGAUGCUCCCAGAUGUCCUGGGCCGCACGCGCACUACAUUGACACAGUGAAGGUGUUAUGCUUCCUUGUGAAGCCCUGAUCAGAAGUGAUUGGGAAAUCCUGCAAGCCUGUGCUGUACUGGGGAUAGAUGAUUGCAACUGUCUGCCUUGAACGAGGAAUGCCUAGUAGGCGUGGGUCAUCAGCCCACACCGAUGACAA
Molecule: ribosomal RNA, 962 nt
Filed under: Trachelomonas lefevrei
Lineage: Eukaryota; Euglenozoa; Euglenophyceae; Euglenales; Euglenaceae
Description: SSU rRNA
Rfam family: Eukaryotic small subunit ribosomal RNA
Source: RNAcentral